This is a long non-coding RNA of Drosophila gunungcola (fruit fly), 490 nucleotides long. RefSeq lists it as uncharacterized. NCBI's taxonomy places the organism in Eukaryota, Metazoa, Arthropoda, Insecta, Diptera, Drosophilidae. The record is from RefSeq and is a predicted model, not a curated record. The transcript is spliced from 3 exons.
ACGGCAGGACAAAAUUAAGAUGCCCGGCAUCUCUUCUGGUAUAUCAAGUGUUGGUCUUACAAUUAGAAAAUGCGCUGUUGUCAAAAUCUCUUCAAGAUUGUUUCCAUCAUCAAUCGAAUACAACGGUCUGGAAUUCAAUAUUUGUUCAAUUUCUGCUAAUAAUGAACUCAUUUCUUCUUAAAUAUCCACAGCUUUUGGAUAAAUAAUUUUUGCUACAUGAAGACGAAAAGACCGAUUAAUGGGUAUUUCAUAUGUUUCGGAGUGUCCCAAACGCACCGUGGGAUUAACCUUGCCAGAAGCUGAAGAGACCAUGGAUGUCAAGCAGUUUAUUCAGUAAUACCGGAAGCCCAAUAAGUUUAUUGGAAAGUCCCGUACCUAAAUAUAAGUCAUCAAUUAAGAAGAAGUCCUUUUCGUGGAAUUGGUGGAACAUCAAUACCUAUGUAAUAGGGUGUCCCUUAUAUGACAAAAAAAAUUUUUUUUUCCAAUUUUG